GCAAAUCUCAAAAAGACCGUCCCAGUUCGGAUUGCAGGCUGCAACCCGCCUGCAUGAAGUUGGAAUCGCUAGUAAUCGCGGAUCAGCAUGCCGCGGUGAAUACGUUCCCGGGCCUUGUACACACCGCCCGUCACACCAUGAGAGUCGGGAACACCCGAAGUCCGUAGUCUGACCGCAAGGGGACGCGGCCGAAGGUGGGUUCGAUAAUUGGGGUGAAGUCGUAACAAGGUACC
RNAcentral lists this ribosomal RNA (233 nucleotides) under uncultured bacterium. RNAcentral's name for it is "partial 16S ribosomal RNA". It matches the Rfam family "Bacterial small subunit ribosomal RNA", at positions 1267 to 1500 of the family's 1533-position model. The record is from RNAcentral.